GACGAACGCUGGCGGCGUGCUUAACACAUGCAAGUCGAACGGAAAGGCCCUUCGGGGUACUCGAGUGGCGAACGGGUGAGUAACACGUGGGUGAUCUGCCCUGCACUUUGGGAUAAGCCUGGGAAACUGGGUCUAAUACCGAAUAGGACCACGCGCUUCAUGGUGUGUGGUGGAAAGCUUUUGCGGUGUGGGAUGGGCCCGCGGCCUAUCAGCUUGUUGGUGGGGUAAUGGCCUACCAAGGCGACGACGGGUAGCCGGCCUGAGGGGGUGACCGGCCACAUUGGGAUGGAGAUACGGCCCAGACUCCUACGGGAGGCAGCGGGGGGGAAUAUUGAACAAGGGGCGGAAGCCUGAUGCAGCAACGCCGGGGGAGGGAUGACGGCCUUCGGGUUGUAAACCCUUUUAAACGGGGACGAAGCGAGAGUGACGGUACUGAGUAAAGAAGCCCCGGCUAACUACGUG
RNAcentral lists this ribosomal RNA (462 nucleotides) under uncultured bacterium. Its description in RNAcentral is "partial 16S ribosomal RNA". It matches the Rfam family "Bacterial small subunit ribosomal RNA", at positions 28 to 507 of the family's 1533-position model. The record is from RNAcentral.